GAUGAACGCUGGCGGCGUGCCUAAUACAUGCAAGUCGAGCGAACGGACGAGAAGCUUGCUUCUCUGAUGUUAGCGGCGGACGGGCGAGUAACACGUGGAUAACCUACCUAUAAGACGGGGAUAACUUCGGGAAACCGGAGCUAAUACCAGAUAAUAUUUUGAACCGCAUGGUUCAAAAGUGAUAGACGGUCUUGCUGUCACUUAUAGAUGGAUCCGCGCUGCAUUAGCUAGUUGGUAAGGUAACGGCUUACCAAGGCAACGAUGCAUAGCCGACCUGAGAGGGUGAUCGGCCACACUGGAACUGAGACACGGUCCAGACUCCUACGGGAGGCAGCAGUAGGGAAUCUUCCGCAAUGGGCGAAAGCCUGAUGGAGCAACGCCGCGUGAGUGAUGAAGGUCUUCGGAUCGUAAAACUCUGUUAUUAGGGAAGAACAUAUGUGUAAGUAACUGUGCACAUCUUGACGGUACCUAAUCAGAAAGCCACGGCUAACUACGUG
This 497-nucleotide ribosomal RNA is filed under the name uncultured bacterium. RNAcentral describes it as "partial 16S ribosomal RNA". It matches the Rfam family "Bacterial small subunit ribosomal RNA", at positions 28 to 507 of the family's 1533-position model. The record is from RNAcentral.